Molecule: long non-coding RNA, 2329 nt
Organism: Macaca mulatta (Rhesus monkey)
Lineage: Eukaryota; Metazoa; Chordata; Mammalia; Primates; Cercopithecidae
Source: Ensembl
AUGGCUAGCAAGUUACCACGAAGCCCGGCAAAGCAGCAGAGCUCUGGACAUCCACAGCCCUCCUGGCGCCCCGCCAGGGCCACUCUGUUUUUCAUCUGGAGAACCACGGAUUAUAGAAGUGAUGCUGACAACAAACCAAUCUUUGAUGUCUACCUGGAAGAUGCAAAAAGACAGCAGGUGGGUGAGGCACAGCGGCUCAUGCCUGGAAUCCCGCACUUUGGGAGGCUGAGGCGGGCUGAUUACCUAAGGUUGGGAGGUCAAGACCAGCCUGACCAACAUGGAGAAACCCCGUCUCCACUAAAAAUACAAAAUUAGGUGGGUGUGGAGGCGCAUGCUUGUAAUCCCAGUUACUCGGGAGGCUGAGGCAGGAAAAUCACUUGAACUUGAGAGGCGGAGGUUGCGGUGAGCUGAGGUCAUGCCAUUGCACUGCAGCCUGGGCCACAAGAGCGAAAGUCUGUCUGAAAAAUAAAUAAACAAAAAGACAGCAGGUGAUGUGGUUUGGACCUGUGUCCCCUCCGCCCAAAUCUCACCUCGAAUUGUAAUCCCCCACGUUGGAGGAGGGGCCUGGUGGGAGGGGAUUGGAUCAUGGUGGUGGUCCUUCACGAGUGGGUUAGCGCCAGUUUCUUGGUGCUGUUCUCAUGAUGGUGAGUGAGUCAUCGUGAGAUCUGGCCGUCUGAAAGUGUGCGGCACCCCCUCUUUUUCUCUCUCUCCUGCUCCCGCCAUUGAGACGCCUCACACUCCCUUCCUUCCACCAUGGCUGAAGGUUUCCCGAGGCCUCCCUAGAAGCGGAAGCCGCACUGCUUCCUGUACAGCCUGCAGAACCGUGAGCCAAUCAAACCUCUUUUCUUUAUAAAGUGCCCAGACUCAGGUAUGUCUUUUUUUUUUUUUUUUUUUUUUGAGAUGGAGUCUUGCUCUGUCACCCAGGCUGGAGAGCAGUGGCGCGAUCUCAGCUCACUGCAAGCUCCACCUCCCGGGUUCACGCCAUUUUCCUGCCUCAGCCUCCCAAAUAGCUGGGACUACAGGCGCCCGCCACCACGCCCAGCUAAUUUUUUGUAUUUUUAGUAGAGAUGGUGUUUCACUGUGUUAGCUAGGAUGGUCUUGAUCUCCUGACCUCAUGAUCCACCCGCCUCGGCCUCCCAAAGUGCUGGGAUUACACGCGUGAGCCACCACGCCCGGCCCUCAGGUAUGUCUUUACAGCAGUGUAAGAACAGACGAAUGCACCAGGUCUUCAGGACAAGCCCGAUUUUGUUGGUUACGAGAUGCAUGUUUUUCAUUCUAGCCCCCCGAGACCUGGAUACAUUGCACAGGUGUGACAGCAGGUGGCAGUGUGGAGCAGCGGUGUGACACCUGCAAGGCCCUCUGUGGACACCACACAAGGGCAGUCCCCGCGUCCCGGAGCCUGUGCAGUGUGACGGCUGUAGGUACCUCUCCAGCCAGCACUCCACCCGUGGAAUUACAGCCUACCGAAGCAUCUCUGCUGCAUUCGUCAGCUUGAUAAAUGUCCGAGAAAUGAGCCAAGACUAAGGACCAUCUCUUCCAGCAGCUUCUCACCAUCGCAGCUUCUCACCAUCGCACACACUUUGCAGCGCCGAGGGCUCUUCCUGGCCCAUAUCUAGCACCUAGAUUUUUUUUCACUUAUGUGUUGAAUAUUUCAUGGGUUCUUCUCCCCCAGAGGCCUCAGAGCACUCCCAGAAUUGGAAUGGAAAUACACAGUGUGUCCUUGUCAGCUGUCCAGGCCGCCGCGUUCAAAGGGCAGGACAUAGCAACUUCCGCUCAAAUUAGAAUGAUCUGUCUUGUCAAGCGGAAGAUGGUUGUUGGGACUUUGUGUUUUUAAAGUAUUGCCUUAAAAAGCAAGAUUAAACGAACGCAUGAACGCUUGUGCAGUAUGGCAGGAAAAUUCCGGGGGUCUGCCUGGACUGCUUGCCCCAACCCUCUCUACACGUGGGUUCUGCUGCAACAUUGAGGAGAGAGCAGGGGGUGCUCAUCUCCAGGCCAUCAGCAAAGAUGUCAGACUGUGCUUGUCCCACAGGCCUGGCCGGCAACAGCAGGGUCUCCCCCGAAUGGGGCUUGCCAGCCUCACUGCUGCAUGUGGCUCUGGGAAGGCCUGUGGGAGCCUGCUGGUCCCCAUGGCCUGGCAAGCACCUGCCCAGGUAGGCUGAAGUGCCCCCAGGCCCUGUGGCUAGAGGAAGCCUGCUGGCGCCUAGGAGAUCUGGGAGAGGAGAACUGGACAGCUCACCCACCAUGGCCAGCAUGAAAGGCAGCUAGUAAGUCCCCCUGCACUGUCAGCCUCUGCUCAGAAGUCUCUGGAGUGAUGUCCAGGUACUGAGGG